This 117-nucleotide ribosomal RNA is filed under the name Thermodesulfovibrio sp. RBG_19FT_COMBO_41_18. The record is from RNAcentral. Lineage: Bacteria; Pseudomonadati; Nitrospirota; Thermodesulfovibrionia; Thermodesulfovibrionales; Thermodesulfovibrionaceae. RNAcentral also lists the same sequence under 1 other name.
UCCGGUGGCGAUACCGAAGGGGCAACACCCGUUCCCAUCUCGAACACGGAAGUUAAGCUCUUCAGGGCCGAUGAUACUAUGACUGUGAGGUCAUGGGAAAGUAGGACGCCGCCGGAU